UGGGGAAUAUUGCACAAUGGGCGCAAGCCUGAUGCAGCCAUGCCGCGUGUGUGAAGAAGGCCUUCGGGUUGUAAAGCACUUUCAGCGAGGAGGAAGGUGGUGAACUUAAUACGUUCAUCAAUUGACGUUACUCGCAGAAGAAGCACCGGCUAACUCCGUGCCAGCAGCCGCGGUAAUACGGAGGGUGCAAGCGUAAUCGGAAUUACUGGGCGUAAAGCGCACGCAGGCGGUUUGUUAAGUCAGAUGUGAAAUCCCCGGGCUCAACCUGGGAACUGCAUUUGAAACUGGCAAGCUAGAGUCUCGUAGAGGGGGGUAGAAUUCCAGGUGUAGCGGUGAAAUGCGUAGAGAUCUGGAGGAAUACCGGUGGCGAAGGCGGCCCCCUGGACGAAGACUGACGCUCAGGUGCGAAAGCGUGGGGAGCAAACAGGAUUAGAUACCCUGGUAGUCCACGCUGUAAACGAUGUCGAUUUUGGAGGUUGUGCCCUUGAGGCGUGGCUUCCGGAGCUAACGCGUUAAAUCGACCGCCUGGGGAGUACGGCCGCAAGGUUAAAACUUAAAUGAAUUGACGGGGUC
Molecule: ribosomal RNA, 573 nt
Filed under: uncultured bacterium
Lineage: Bacteria
Description: partial 16S ribosomal RNA
Rfam family: Bacterial small subunit ribosomal RNA
Source: RNAcentral